UACGGAGGAUGCGAGCGUUAUCCGGAUUUAUUGGGUUUAAAGGGUGCGUAGGUUGUUUUUUAAGUCAGCGGUGAAAGUUUGUGGCUCAACCAUAAAAUUGCCGUUGAAACUGGAAGACUUGAGUGUGUUUGAGGUAGGCGGAAUGCGUGGUGUAGCGGUGAAAUGCAUAGAUAUCACGCAGAACUCCGAUUGCGAAGGCGACCUGCUAGAACAUAACUGACGCUGAUGCGCGAAAGCGUGGGGAGCAAACAGG
Molecule: ribosomal RNA, 253 nt
Filed under: uncultured Parabacteroides sp.
Lineage: Bacteria; Pseudomonadati; Bacteroidota; Bacteroidia; Bacteroidales; Tannerellaceae
Description: partial 16S ribosomal RNA
Rfam family: Bacterial small subunit ribosomal RNA
Source: RNAcentral